This is a long non-coding RNA of Zonotrichia leucophrys gambelii, 1387 nucleotides long. RefSeq lists it as uncharacterized. The transcript has 2 exons. NCBI's taxonomy places the organism in Eukaryota, Metazoa, Chordata, Aves, Passeriformes, Passerellidae. The record is from RefSeq and is a predicted model, not a curated record.
UCCUCUCGUCACCUGUUUGCCAUCAUUUUCAUGAGCUGAUAACGUGUUUAUUAGAGCCAUAAUAUGCAGGUGGAAGCAUAAAGGUCUCAUUUGGUGGAGUAUGAAUUCCGUCUCAUACAUCUGUAUGGAAAAGCUUGGUUUCACCCUUCAGCUGUGCCUAGGAAAAGAAUAAGCUCCGAAAUAGUAUCUUUUAUUCUUUUCAAAUGAAAUAUUAGUUCUUUUAAGUUCAGUACAUAUCUCAAAAUACCAUUUGGAUGUGUGUGACAGAUUAAUCACAGAUCAAUCCUUCAAAAGAGGCAGAGAAACAAGUCCCAGCCUCAUGGUCUCUGCUCACAACUCAUUGCUCCUGAUACAAGAGUGAUCAUUUCUACUACAUGUUAUUAUCUCCUCAUCCCUGACUACCUGGCUGAAAUCUUGAAUUGAGGAGAAUACUGACAAGGAUCAAAUAAUGUAUGCACCUUUGACACAGCACUGCAGAAAAAUAAAAAGGCAUUUCUACUAAAAUUUGUGAGCAUUCCAGACUCAUUUUCUAAAAAUACCUCUUAGGUAUCCCAGUAUUAGCAAAUGAAAAAGAACUGGAGAAUAUAAAUGAAAAUAAAAUGAACAAAAACAAAAAAAUACCUUGCAACCUUUGACUGUAAAAGCUAUCAUUGGAGAGAUCAUAUUAUGCAGUUAGUUCUAUAUAACCACCUCACCUAAAACUUGUGGCAGUUAGAGAUAAUUCAACAGAGGAAAGCAGAAAGGCAGAGGUCUGCCUCAAAGGGCCAGCAACAUCCUUUUUUUUCUCAGAGCAGUUCCUACUUCAUGUGUGGCGUUCCACAUGCCUAUUGGACCUCAAGCUCUAAGUAGGAGCACUAAGCCAGUUAUUCCUGUUUUUGAAAGGGAAGUGAAGGGAGAGAUAGGAGGAGGCAAAAAUGGUGGUGACUGCUGGAAAAGCAGAAUUUGAAGAUCAAGAUUUCCCGACUGAGAUCAGGAGAAAAGAUGACUGAAAAAAGAACUAUGUCUCUUUGGAUAUUUUCUGACACUUCCCAAAAUGUAUCUAAACAGUACCAGUCUUAUCAGAUAGAGGCACUGGGAGAUGGAUGUGAGCCAGCUGACAGACAUGUGAGCAAAGGAGGGCAAGGGACUGGCAACAUGAAAGCUCAGGCUACUGCAGAGCAGGGGAAAGCAUACACUGCAAUUUCCCAGGCUGCCACUUAAGCAUGGAGAAAGGAGAGGAAUGCCACAGAAACAAAGUAGGCUAUGCCUGAACCCCUGGGUGAUAAACAUUUAAAGACAAGCUAGAAAAGAAUUGCUUAGAGCCAUUACAAACCUAGCAGUGCAGAGUUCAGCCUGGGCCAAGGCACUCCAGCCCAGUUUGCCAAACUUGGAAGUGGCUCCAUACAAA